ACUGAAUAUAUGUUUUUUUUUGUUUGGUGGAAUCUGCUCUUAAACUUCUUUCUAUCUAUCCAGAUUGUUUGGAAUUUCUUCUUGGCCAACAUUUUGUAUAUAUGUUCUAUUUUUUUUUUGGAGGAAUUUACUCUCAAAUUCAUUAAUUUGGUCUAAUUGUGCAUACUAUUUUUCAUAAUCACAGUGAGGUAAAACACUAUGUGGUUCCAAAUUCAGAAUGCUG
RNAcentral lists this unclassified non-coding RNA (223 nucleotides) under Hevea brasiliensis (rubber tree). The record is from RNAcentral. Lineage: Eukaryota; Viridiplantae; Streptophyta; Magnoliopsida; Malpighiales; Euphorbiaceae.